UGCGUAGGCGGCCUAUUAAGUCAGUGGUGAAAGGUAUCAGCUUAACUGAUGACGUGCCAUUGAAACUGAUAGGCUUGAGUACAGACGAGGUAGGCGGAAUUUAUGGUGUAGCGGUGAAAUGCAUAGAUACCAUAAAGAACACCAAUUGCGAAGGCAGCUUACUAGACUGAGACUGACGCUGAGGCACGAAAGCGUGGGUAGCAAACAGGAUUAGAUACCCUGGUAGUCC
Molecule: ribosomal RNA, 229 nt
Filed under: uncultured bacterium
Lineage: Bacteria
Description: partial 16S ribosomal RNA
Rfam family: Bacterial small subunit ribosomal RNA
Source: RNAcentral